Molecule: RNA transcript, 321 nt
Organism: Arabidopsis thaliana (thale cress)
Lineage: Eukaryota; Viridiplantae; Streptophyta; Magnoliopsida; Brassicales; Brassicaceae
Exons: 1
Source: RefSeq
CUUUUACUAGGUUCAGGUCUCUUCACACUUUGGUAAGCAAGAAGCUCUCUUAACACAGGCAUAAAAUGCAAGUUUUAAGUUCAGUUACGAAGCUUUGUUUUCGUUUGCUGUUUUUAUUGAGAAGUUAAGAAGAUUGACUUUCAAACACUGCUACCAUGGUUUGGCCUCUUCUCUGGUGGUUGAUCAUCGAGCAUCCAGACUUUUCCCUUUUGAUGUUUAUAGUCUUGAUUCAGUUCUUUUUAAUUUCUUUCUUUAGACGUCUUUGGAUUGUAUAAUAUGCUCUCUGUAUCAUGAAUGGUUUGUACGAUAUGUUUCAUAUAA